AACACCCUGCUGUGCGCGUGUCCGGUCGUCAAAGUUUUGAGCUAACACUGAUAAAUUGGGAGCCUGGCUCUACCUGUGGCGCAGAAGCUCUGUGUGCAGGGAACUGCAAAGCAUGUAGGAGGGCACCCCCCUGUAGGGAGAGCAGUUCAAAACAACGACCCCACGUCAUGGUGGGGUUUUU
Molecule: non-coding RNA, 181 nt
Filed under: Bacillota bacterium
Lineage: Bacteria; Bacillati; Bacillota
Description: Firmicutes bacterium (anaerobic digester metagenome) 6S RNA
Rfam family: 6S / SsrS RNA
About the family: E. coli 6S RNA was the first non coding RNA to be sequenced, but its function was unknown until recently. It consists of 184 nucleotides that fold into an extended hairpin structure with a large single-stranded internal bulge.
Source: RNAcentral